GGGGGUAUAGCUCAGGGGCAGGGAGCAUGCUUAGCAUGCACGAGGUCCUUGGUUCAAUCCCCAGUACCGCCA
This 72-nucleotide transfer RNA is filed under the name Camelus ferus (Wild Bactrian camel). It matches the Rfam family "tRNA". From Rfam's summary of the family: Transfer RNA (tRNA) molecules are approximately 80 nucleotides in length. Their secondary structure includes four short double-helical elements and three loops (D, anti-codon, and T loops). Lineage: Eukaryota; Metazoa; Chordata; Mammalia; Artiodactyla; Camelidae. The record is from Rfam by way of RNAcentral.